UGACGGAGCAAGACCGCGUGGGGGAGGAAAGCCUUUGGGUUGUAAACCCCUUUUCUCAGGGAAGAAGAAAGUGACGGUACCUGAGGAAUCAGCCUCGGCUAACUCCGUGCCAGCAGCCGCGGUAAUACGGAGGAGGCAAGCGUUAUCCGGAAUGAUUGGGCGUAAAGCGUUCGUAGGUGGCAAUUCAAGUCUGCUGUCAAAGACAGUAGCUCAACUACUGCAAGGCAGUGGAAACUGAAUAGCUAGAGUGCGGUAGGGGCAGAGGGAAUUCCCGGUGUAGCGGUGAAAUGCGUAGAGAUCGGGAAGAACACCGGUGGCGAAAGCGCUCUGCUGGGCCGCAACUGACACUGAGGGACGAAAGCUAGGGGAGCGAAUGGGAUUAGAUACCCCAGUAGUC
RNAcentral lists this ribosomal RNA (397 nucleotides) under uncultured cyanobacterium. RNAcentral's name for it is "bacterial SSU rRNA". It matches the Rfam family "Bacterial small subunit ribosomal RNA", at positions 384 to 795 of the family's 1533-position model. The record is from RNAcentral. Lineage: Bacteria; Bacillati; Cyanobacteriota.